RNAcentral lists this long non-coding RNA (1174 nucleotides) under Cyanistes caeruleus (blue tit). Its description in RNAcentral is "lncRNA (ENSCCEG00000020482.1)". Lineage: Eukaryota; Metazoa; Chordata; Aves; Passeriformes; Paridae. The record is from RNAcentral.
GUACAAGAAGCAAAUUCAUUGUACACACUAAUUUUACUGACCUCUCCAGGAAUGAAUGUAGCCAGGAUGGAAAUUCCACCACUUCCCUAUAAAACCAUGAGACUCCCAUGAAACUCUUGGUCCAAGUAUUCUCCUGAAGAGCUUAGCACAGCACUAAGGGGGUGACAGAAAUUUCUUCCUUGUACCAAGGAGGGUUUAUUUUUGAUGGACAAUGCAGUUCAGGGGAGGAUGCCUGAGCAGCACUGUGAGUUCCACAUCUCAGCAGUGAGAAUGGCUUUGCACUCUACUUCCUCUAUGGGCCUUACAGGAGUCAGGAUUUCAGAGAAAAGAAACCUCACCUAGUGCCUUCUUUCAGUGUCAGCUCCCUGCUUGAACAGGGAAGAAAAGAAGGAAGAGUGGUGACACCCCUUUAGUGAAGCCUCAACAAACAUGAAUUUGAUUUUACAAACACGAGGAGUUUACAAGGCUCUUUCCUACAGUGUGCAAGAUGGGUCCCAGGAGGAAUGGAUUCUUCUUUCCUGUAAAAGUAUUUAAAUUAUACAGUAAUUAGCUGAAAUUUCUAAAUAGACUGUCACAAGGAUUGGGGCCAGGCAGGACUCACAGAAAUGUGUCAGGCACUGCUUUGUAAAAUCAGGCUCCAAUUUGCUUUCCGUCUCCUUGGGCUGAGUAUCCUGAAGGAUUUUCCUGGAUGGUGUCGGAGAGCAUCUCUCCCAGCCCAAUAGAAGAAUAACCUUGAUUUCACUUGGGCAGAGCAGGAAAUGGAACAGUCUCACUUCUGGGUAAAUGAGUUCAGUGUAUAGAAAUUUUCUGUGGUUUGGGUUUUUUCUUUCUUUUUUUUUCCUCCUUGGGUCACUCACCAAAGUGCUUCUCCAGUCAUAAGGAAAGGCACAGGGGAAGAUGGACUUCAGUUUCUCUCAUAAGUUUCUGUGCUGGUUUUGCAUUUAUUGACAUUUGGGGAAGAAGUAAGAAACCACCCAUGGAAAUGAGUUUUCUGAGAGAAACUGCUAAGAGCUUCCUCUGUGCCUGAAAAAGGCCAAUACCUGGCUAGUUCUGAGAACUGACAACAUUUUGAAACAUUCAGAAAUUCAAUCUGCCUCUGUUGAAAUCCAACCAUUUUAAAAACACAACCGAGGGAAAUCUGUCUCCUGGCUCCUGCCCUCACAAUGUCACUGAG